RNAcentral lists this ribosomal RNA (493 nucleotides) under uncultured bacterium. RNAcentral's name for it is "partial 16S ribosomal RNA". It matches the Rfam family "Bacterial small subunit ribosomal RNA", at positions 29 to 507 of the family's 1533-position model. The record is from RNAcentral.
AACGAACGCUGGCGGCGCGUCUUACACAUGCAAGUCGAACGGCAGGAAGGGGCUUGCCCCUUCUGAGAGUGGCGGACUGGUGAGUAACACGUGGGUGACAUACCUUUUAGUUUGGGAUAGCUAUUAGAAAUAGUAGGUAAUACCGAAUGUGACCGUACCUGUUAGAGGGGUACGAGGAAAGGAGCUAAGGCUUCGCUAAAAGAAUGGCUCGCGGCCCAUUAUGCUAGUUGGUGAGGUAACGGCCCACCAAGGCGAUGAUGGGUAUCCGGCCUGAGAGGGUGAACGGACACAUUGGGACUGAGAUACGGCCCAGACUUCUACGGGAGGCAGCAGUGAAGAAUAUUCCGCAAUGGACGAAAGUCUGACGGAGCGACGCCGCGUGGAUGAAGAAGGCCGAAAGGUUGUAAAAUCCUUUUAAGCCUGAUGAAUAAGCACAGUAGGGAAUGAUUGUGCGGUGACCGUAGGGCUUGAAUAAGCACCGGCUAAUUACGUG